Molecule: ribosomal RNA, 269 nt
Filed under: uncultured prokaryote
Description: partial 16S ribosomal RNA
Rfam family: Bacterial small subunit ribosomal RNA
Source: RNAcentral
UACGUAGGUGGCAAGCGUUGUCCGGAUUUAUUGGGCGUAAAGCGAGCGUAGGCGGUUCCUUAAGUCUGAUGUGAAAGCCCACGGCUCAACCGUGGAAGGUCAUUGGAAACUGGGGAACUUGAGUGCAGAAGAGGAGAGUGGAAUUCCAUGUGUAGCGGUGAAAUGCGUAGAUAUAUGGAGGAACACCAGUGGCGAAGGCGACUCUCUGGUCUGUAACUGACGCUGAGGCUCGAAAGCGUGGGGAGCAAACAGGAUUAGAUACCCCCGUA